CCGUACGCGGACUGGUUGAUCGCGAUCUUCGACCGGUGGUACGGCACGGCGCCGAUGCCGGUGCGGGUCCGGCUGUUCGGG
This 81-nucleotide transfer RNA is filed under the name Thermopolyspora flexuosa. RNAcentral's name for it is "tRNA-Ser". The record is from RNAcentral. Lineage: Bacteria; Bacillati; Actinomycetota; Actinomycetes; Streptosporangiales; Streptosporangiaceae.